Molecule: long non-coding RNA, 1409 nt
Organism: Gorilla gorilla gorilla (western lowland gorilla)
Lineage: Eukaryota; Metazoa; Chordata; Mammalia; Primates; Hominidae
Exons: 4
Source: RefSeq, a predicted model, not a curated record
GCCAAGAGGGGUUUGAAGAUGCUACUUUGCUGCCUUUGAAAGGGGCCAGAGCCAGAGAAUCCAAGGAAUGCAGCUCUAGCAGCUGGAAAGGCCACAGUUCUCCCUUAGAGCCUCCGGAGGGAGCGCAGCCCUGCCAGCACCUUAGGUUCAGCCCGGAUGCACCAUUUAAGACUUCGGACCUCCAGAACUAUAAGAGAAUAUAUUGUGCUAUUUUAAACCUUAAAGUUUGUGGUCAUUUGUUCCAGCAGCAACAGGAAACUAAUUUGAACACCAAGCACUGUAUCUGAUAUAACCAAAGCUCCAAAGGAGGGUGCAGGCCCAGGAGUCGUGUGGCCACUGCCAGGAGAGCUAAAGCCAUAAGACUCUUGGCCACCUCGCUUCCUGCCUCUCUCAGUUGAUUCCCUGUGACUCUAUCCCUGCAUGGAGGAGAGACAAGUGAAAAUGAAAGACAGAUGAAUGUGUCAAGUUGAGAGCUCUUUACAUGAUGAAGGUGUUUCUGCUUCAUUGCAUGAAACAGAACAUAGAGCGGUGAUAAAACCCAGCCAGAUCCUUUGGGUUGACUUCCAACCACAGGUGGUGGUUACUCAUUAGGAAAGAGCGAACACUGUAAUGAUUUCAAAACUAAGGAGUGCAAAGCCAAAUAUUCACUAAUAAUCACUCAUCAAGGAGAACAGAUGGCACAGGUUGAACACUCCUGAAAAUGAAAGCCCUUGGCUGCAGGGGUGAAUGUCCAGGACCCACAGAAAAUAUCAAGUCAGAUACCUCUUGAAGCACUGAUGGGAAGGUGCAGCUGGACUCCCUGGAACUCUGAAGCUGAGAGAGAGAGCACCACGGAAGGGAGCCCCAUUCCCAAGCAUGGUGUCCAAUACACUGAAAGAAUAACUGGGCUCAGUAAUGCACCUAGAGACUCAGAUUCCAGACCUGCCCACUUGCUUUACUAUCCAAAACAACCAUGACACAUGACUUCUCUGGCAGGGUGUUGGCCAAGACAAAUUGAACUAUAGAAGAUCCUUGACUUGCCAACGUUCAGAUGAUGAACUUUCAAAAAUAGCGAAACUGGCUGCGGAGCAAAAGCUUUUCGGCUCUGCACAACACCAACAGAUGGCGCUAAGUGUCACCCUUGUGGAGAGCAGAGGGACCUCGGAAGGGCCUUUGGAAAUCUAAUCUGGUUUUGAGUUCUUGGUGGGAAAAUGCACCUUUAAGUUGGGGGAGUUUGAAGACACUGCCAAGACACGUGCUGCAGCAUUUGAUCUUUUCUGCCGCACUGGCUUCUGCAAUUAACAUGCUUUCACCAGUGAAACUCAGGUUGGGGGGAGAGCAUUCUUCCAGGUUUAUGCCUGUUGUCAUGGAGUAAUUAUAAUUCAUGUCUCCGUUCACAGUGUCCUGGUUUGUAGAAUAAAAUAUCUGGU